Molecule: non-coding RNA, 106 nt
Organism: Pteropus alecto (black flying fox)
Lineage: Eukaryota; Metazoa; Chordata; Mammalia; Chiroptera; Pteropodidae
Source: Rfam
GAAAUCUUUGGAGAGUGCUCCCUUUAAAAUCAGAACGAUACAGAGAAGACAGGCAUGACCCCUGCACAAGGAUGACAUGCAAAUUUGUGAAGCAUUCUAUAUUUUA